Molecule: ribosomal RNA, 253 nt
Filed under: uncultured bacterium
Lineage: Bacteria
Description: partial 16S ribosomal RNA
Rfam family: Bacterial small subunit ribosomal RNA
Source: RNAcentral
UACGUAGGGUCCGAGCGUUGUCCGGAAUUAUUGGGCGUAAAGAGCUCGUAGGCGGUUUGUCGCGUCUGCUGUGAAAUCCCGAGGCUCAACCUCGGGCCUGCAGUGGGUACGGGCAGACUGGAGUGCGGUAGGGGAGACUGGAAUUCCUGGUGUAGCGGUGAAAUGCGCAGAUAUCAGGAGGAACACCGGUGGCGAAGGCGGGUCUCUGGGCCGUAACUGACGCUGAGGAGCGAAAGCAUGGGGAGCGAACAGG